This 585-nucleotide ribosomal RNA is filed under the name uncultured bacterium. RNAcentral describes it as "partial 16S ribosomal RNA". It matches the Rfam family "Bacterial small subunit ribosomal RNA", at positions 355 to 1375 of the family's 1533-position model. The record is from RNAcentral.
UGGGGAAUUUUGGACAAUGGGCGAAAGCCUGAUCCAGCAAUGCCGCGUGUGUGGAGAAGGCCUUCGGGUUGUAAAGCACUUUUGUCCGGAAAGAAAUCCUUGGCUCUAAUACAGUCGGGGGAUGACGGUACCGGAAGAAUAAGCACCGGCUAACUACGUGCCAGCAGCCGCGGUAAUACGUAGGGUGCAAGCGUUAAUCGGAAUUACUGGGCGUAAAGCGUGCGCAGGCGGUUUGCUAAGACCGAUGUGAAAUCCCCGGGCUCAACCUGGGAACUGCAUUGGUGACUGGCAGGCUAGAGUAUGGCAGAGGGGGGUAGAAUUCCACGUGUAGCAGUGAAAUGCGUAGAGAUGUGGAGGAAUACCGAUGGCGAAGGCAGCCCCCUGGGCCAAUACUGACGCUCAUGCACGAAAGCGUGGGGAGCAAACAGGAUUAGAUACCCUGGUAGUCCACGCCCUAAACGAUGUCAACUAGUUGUUGGGGAUUCAUUUCCUUAGUAACGUAGCUAACGCGUGAAGUUGACCGCCUGGGGAGUACGGUCGCAAGAUUAAAACUCAAAUGAAUUGACGGGGUCAUAGCUGUUUCCU